GAUGAACGCUGGCGGCGUGCCUAAUACAUGCAAGUCGAGCGAACGGACGAGAUGCUUGCUUCUCUGAUGUUAGCGGCGGACGGGUGAGUAACACGUGGAUAACCUACCUAUAAGACUGGGAUAACUUCGGGAAACCGGAGCUAAUACCGGAUAAUAUUUUGAACCGCAUGGUUCAAAAGUGAAAGACGGUCUUGCUGUCACUUAUAGAUGGAUCCGCGCUGCAUUAGCUAGUUGGUAAGGUAACGGCUUACCAAGGCAACGAUGCAUAGCCGACCUGAGAGGGUGAUCGGCCACACUGGAACUGAGACACGGUCCAGACUCCUACGGGAGGCAGCAGUAGGGAAUCUUCCGCAAUGGGCGAAAGCCUGACGGAGCAACGCCGCGUGAGUGAUGAAGGUCUUCGGAUCGUAAAACUCUGUUAUUAGGGAAGAACAUAUGUGUAAGUAACUGUGCACAUCUUGACGGUACCUAAUCAGAAAGCCACGGCUAACUACGUG
This 497-nucleotide ribosomal RNA is filed under the name uncultured bacterium. RNAcentral's name for it is "partial 16S ribosomal RNA". It matches the Rfam family "Bacterial small subunit ribosomal RNA", at positions 28 to 507 of the family's 1533-position model. The record is from RNAcentral.